RNAcentral lists this non-coding RNA (122 nucleotides) under Chattonella subsalsa. Lineage: Eukaryota; Raphidophyceae; Chattonellales; Chattonellaceae. The record is from RNAcentral.
UUCUGUUUAUGAGGUAGUUUUCGGGGCCUGGGGUAAAUGGGCAGUGCUUCUACGCAAAGCUGGUCAGGCAAUUGCAGUUGCGGAGGUGGAUGGGGAGUUCAACUCAGCUGAGCAAGCAACUG